UUCUUCUCUGUUUGGGAGUGCAUUCUAUGAGUGUGGUAAUUCCGUGGUGCUUUUCCCCGUGAGAAUACUUUGUUCUAUUGGUCCACGGUCGGUGGUAUCUUCUAAGAGCUCUAAGCUCCCAGUAUUGGGAGCGAUUCUGGUGGCUCUACCCAUCGUUGUCGUGGGGCCUGCUUGGAGGGGUGUUCGCGUUGCGUUUUUCCGUUCGGUGAUGGGCCGUGAUUUGGCCAGCGCAUGCGUGUCGUUGCCAUCACGUGUCGGCGAGGUCAAGCGGUUGCGGGUCGGUUCGAGCUUGCUUUGACCGCGGGUUCGUUCUUCCUUCUCUAUUCUUGGAUGCGGCGGCACUUCUACUCGCGUAGCAACGAUCUUCUCCUUCAGUCACUCCCCCACCGCCCCCACCCACCGCGAAGACUUGCUAGCGUUGUGCUAGAACAAGGCAGGGAAUAGCGCUGGAGGCGAGGACGGACGGCGCCAUGGCCGUACCGGUGCUGGAGCCCUGGAUCGAUGUGGAGGUCUGGCCGUGCGACACCGCAACAGCGAUGGCGAUCCACAUGCACGUAGAGGAAAAUAUUCAUCACUUCUGGCGUCUCUGGCCGCCGUUGGAGAUGCGGUUGGGCGAGGGAGGCGACGAGCAGCGAAUGGACGAUGACGGCCAUCUGUCCCGCAAGAGAUGAACGAGCUGCGGAGCCGGUGUGCAGACGCUUCUCAUAUUCUCUGAUGCAAAGUUGAUUCAGUUGUAUUGCACGGCUCAGAUAACUUAUUUUAUUUUUGGCGCUCACCAGAACACUAUUACUAUAUAUGCUUCCGAUUGAUGAUGCAGAGUGAUAGUCUAUGGCUCUAUGCCUUGACAUGUGAUCCUCGACUAAUAACCUGCCUUAGUCUUAAUUAUUUCACAUUGAACAUUUUUGAUAUUUUACUUAAAUCACGGUAGAUUGGUAGAGAUCUCUUAUCUCAAUUUAAUACUGGACUGCUAGAAGUCUGAAUUUUCCUCCAAAUUAUAUGGAAUGUUCAUUCUAAUAUUGGAAGAAAAGCUAUUUGGUUUUUUCCAUCCAUGAAUGAAGGUAAACGCACAGAGAAAUUUGAUUUCCUCAUGAUAUUUGUAAGGGAAGCCUGAAGAAUGUUAGACCUACACGCACAGUCAAUAAGGCUAUCAUGGAAACUAAAGAUAAAUUCAGUGUUACUAUCACUUUUUGGAAUCUCUGGGUUGAUACAAGGCCCUGCUAGAUAUGUUUUAUUCUCAUACUUUCCCAACAAAUUAAAUGACUUUGGCACCUAAUCAUACAUCAAAUGUGGUUAGUUUAAAUUAUAUUACUGAUCACAGAUAGUCAAUUUAGUCAUAUUUGCUGUUUUCCUUAAAUUCGUUCAAUUAUUAUGUACUUGAGAAAUUUUUGGGGACCCUAAUUUCUUGGGGCCCUCUUGGUAACUCACCCUUCAAAUGCCAAGAUUUGGGCCUGCUAAGAAAAAUUAUCAUUGUGGCUAAAUUAUCAGUCAUAAUGCAGAGUAAGGCUUGAUGUCUUAAUUAUUGAGUAUGAACCCAUUCCUAUUUCUGAAUCAACACUGGUCAGUAGGUUACACAUGGAGUUUAAACAUUGAAGCACUAAGAUGUAGUUUAGUACAUGAUAUCCAGUCUUGCUUUAUCUAUCUGUUAAAUACCAAAAAAAAACUGGUUGUGUUCGAAAAGAAGAUACAUAGUUUUUUGGAAUGGUCCAUUGCGUCCACUGAUUGCAGAGAAAGACGGUUCUAGGAACAUGGAAAUAGUCUUUAUUCCCCAUAUAUUAAUCUUUUGUAAGAUGCCAUUUUCCAAUUUAUAGCUCACAAGAUCAUUUUGUGUCUCGAGAAUCUUCCUUUUUAUUAUACUACCUAUUUAAUUAUAGUAGAGAGGCGGACUGCACUAAAACAACACUGGUGGCUGGUGGAUUUUGACAUUUUUAUCGCCUCCGCAACUUUGGGUUUGCUGUUAGCCCAGAAGAUAGAUAAGGAGUAAACUGGCAGUGCAUUUUGGCAGUAAUUGAUUUUGUUCAUAAAUCCGCUUCCAUUUGACGAAAGAUAUAUACAUUGCAUGAUUGGAGUAUAUUCCAUAUAACACUGUUGAUGUUUUCCUCUACUUCUUUCUCUGAGAGCACAAAGAUAUUAUUGUGCAUGAAUUGAGUAUAAUCCGUAUAACAUUGCUAAUGUUUUCCUAUUCUUUUGCUGAGAUAUAUAAUUUUGAAAUCUCCCCAAAUGGAUGGGGUAUUGAGGAUGAACCCAACUAAUUUCAAUUUCUUCGGCGAGAUUCAAUCAAAACUGCCUAGAAAUAAAAGAUGCUUCUUUUUUACAAAAUUGGCAUAUGUAUGCUAUGAAGUAUAUGAUCCAUUAUUUGACAUCUCAUUGUAAUUGGUAUGAUCUCUAGGGUAAAGUUGGUAGCAUAUGAGAAUCAUUUUUUGUAUGUGCUGUGAAUGUGGAAAUAUUGGCUAAAGCUUCAUAGGGAAUUACUCACUUGGUUUUUGCCAUUUGGGUUGAUGGCGUCGUAGUUGAUUUCGUCCAUGCAGUUGGUGCCGUUUGUGCUGGUUCACCCUUCCACUGCUGCUUCUUUUUUCCCAUUUGGAUGCCUCUGGUUCUCAUCAGCACAAUGGCCCUGAUGUUCUUCCUGCUCGUGGCCAUAGCAACGGAGAAUCGUUGGAAACACGUUUGUGUGUUUCCAGGUACACCACGAUCAUUAAAUAUGAGGGAGAAGUUUGAUGCGGAUGCUCUUAUCCAGGGAAGUUGGUGAGAGCCUGUGAUUUUGUUGGCUAUUGGGCGCACCUUCAAGCUGCAGGAUUCUAUGCUUUCACUGAGUCCUAGCUAUGGAUGGCGAAGCUUGCGGUUGAGUAUGCUUUGAAGUUGUUACCUAUGAUACACUGAUGAUAUGGUAAGGUGGGCCAUAUUAGGAAAAUGGGUAGACUAAAGCAGACCUAAAGUAGUGACAUGGUAGAAAUGAUAUUUCUACAAUAUAAGUACCAGUUCUACGUUGUUGGCUACCUUAUGAACUUUGAAUAUAUCUCCCUUUAAUCAGACGAAUGAGUUUCUUUCUUUCGCUAUGUUGACUGUUACUACGUACAUUUAUACUAGGAUCAUUGUUGCUCAAGCGAUCUACCUUACUGGCAAUCAAUAGUGUCCUUAUAUUGAAGGCUUAUUGUUUCUAAAGUAGAGGAAAACAAUUAAUAAAUAGACUAUCCUGCUGAUUGUUAUCCCUUUUAUUUUAGAGUGGUCCCAAUCCAGUUACAUGCACUAGAUUUUUCAUGUUGCAAAAUGAUCCGAAGCUAAGUCUACUUGUCACUGCCAUCUUAGAAUAUUUACUUCAACCUAUGGAUGUAAAAGGGAUUCAUGGACAUGAUGAUGCACAAAGGCAGUUGCUGUCAUAAGAAGAACAAUUGGUAUUAUUAUUAGCAUGGUGAAGCCAGAGUUUCAUGCAAAUUUUAUAAUAUUUACAAGUUUGUUGCUCUUUCUACUUUUGUAUAUUGAAUUGGUUUGGAAUAUUGUUGUAAUAUUGUACUACCAUUUUGGGCAGUUAUUUUUCUGCACUA
This is a long non-coding RNA of Lolium rigidum, 3539 nucleotides long. RefSeq lists it as uncharacterized. The transcript has 4 exons. Lineage: Eukaryota; Viridiplantae; Streptophyta; Magnoliopsida; Poales; Poaceae. The record is from RefSeq and is a predicted model, not a curated record.